CUGUACUUUCAGGGAUCAUUUCUAUAGUUUGUUA
RNAcentral lists this small nuclear RNA (34 nucleotides) under Cervus elaphus hippelaphus. The record is from RNAcentral. Lineage: Eukaryota; Metazoa; Chordata; Mammalia; Artiodactyla; Cervidae.